RNAcentral lists this ribosomal RNA (492 nucleotides) under uncultured bacterium. Its description in RNAcentral is "partial 16S ribosomal RNA". It matches the Rfam family "Bacterial small subunit ribosomal RNA", at positions 29 to 507 of the family's 1533-position model. The record is from RNAcentral.
AGUGAACGCUGGCGGUAGGCCUAACACAUGCAAGUCGAACGGCAGCACAGUAAGAGCUUGCUCUUACGGGUGGCGAGUGGCGGACGGGAGAGGAAUACAUCGGACUCUACUUUUUCGUGGGGGAUAACGUAGGGAAACUUACGCUAAUACCGCAUACGACCUACGGGUGAAAGCAGGGGAUCUUCGGACCUUGCGCGAUUGAAUGAGCCGAUGUCGGAUUAGCUAGUUGGCGGGGUAAAGGCCCACCAAGGCGACGAUCCGUAGCUGGUCUGAGAGGAUGAUCGGCCACACUGGAACUGAGACACGGUCCAGACUCCUACGAGAGGCAGCAGUGGGGAAUAUUGGACAAUGGGCGCAAGCCUGAUCCAGCCAUACCGCGUGGGUGAAGAAGGCGUUCGGGUUGUAAAGCCCUUUUGUUGGGAAAGAAAAGCAGCAGGUUAAUACCCCGCUGUUCUGACGGUACCCAAAGAAUAAGCACCGGCUAACUUCGUG